AUUGAACGCUAGCGGGAUGCUUUACACAUGCAAGUCGAACGGCAGCGCGGACUUCGGUCUGGCGGCGAGUGGCGAACGGGUGAGUAAUAUAUCGGAACGUGCCCAGUAGCGGGGGAUAACUACGCGAAAGCGUAGCUAAUACCGCAUACGCCCUACGGGGGAAAGCAGGGGAUCGUAAGACCUUGCACUAUUGGAGCGGCCGAUAUCGGAUUAGCUAGUUGGUGAGGUAACGGCUCGCCAAGGCGACGAUCCGUAGCUGGUUUGAGAGGACGACCAGCCACACUGGGACUGAGACACGGCCCAGACUCCUACGGGAGGCAGCAGUGGGGAAUUUUGGACAAUGGGGGCAACCCUGAUCCAGCCAUCCCGCGUGUGCGAUGAAGGCCUUCGGGUUGUAAAGCACUUUUGGCAGGAAAGAAACGUCGCGGGCUAAUACCCCGUGGAACUGACGGUACCUGCAGAAUAAGCACCGGCUAACUACGUG
This 484-nucleotide ribosomal RNA is filed under the name uncultured bacterium. RNAcentral's name for it is "partial 16S ribosomal RNA". It matches the Rfam family "Bacterial small subunit ribosomal RNA", at positions 30 to 507 of the family's 1533-position model. The record is from RNAcentral.